GNNNUUUCGCAGGCCUACACAUGCAAGUCGGACGGUAGCACAGAGAGCUUGNUCUUGGGUGACAAGUGGCGGACGGGUGAGUAAUGUCUGGGGAUCUGCCCGAUAGAGGGGGAUAACCACUGGAAACGGUGGCUAAUACCGCAUAACGUCUCAAGACCAAAGAGGGGGACCUUCGGGCCUCUCACUAUCGGAUGAACCCNCAUGGGAUUAGCUAGUAGGCGGGGUAAUGGCCCACCUAGGCGACAAUCCCUAGCUGGUCUGAGAGGAUGACCACCCACACUGGAACUGAGACACGGUCCACACUCCUACGGGAGGCANCACUGGGGAAUAUUGCACAAUGGGCGCAAGCCUGAUGCACCCAUGCCCCGUGUAUAAAAAAAGCCUUCUGGUUGUAAAAUACUUUCACCGGGGAGGAAAGCGACAGGGUUANUAACCCUGUCUAUUGUCGUUUCCCCCACAAAAAACACCGGCUAACUCCGUGCCAUUACCCGCGGUAAUACGGAGGGGGCAAUCGUUAUU
This 519-nucleotide ribosomal RNA is filed under the name Pantoea agglomerans. RNAcentral describes it as "bacterial SSU rRNA". It matches the Rfam family "Bacterial small subunit ribosomal RNA", at positions 37 to 537 of the family's 1533-position model. The record is from RNAcentral. Lineage: Bacteria; Pseudomonadati; Pseudomonadota; Gammaproteobacteria; Enterobacterales; Erwiniaceae.